UACGGAGGGGGCUAGCAUUGUUCGGAAUUACUGGGCGUAAAGCGCACGUAGGCGGCUUUGUAAGUUAGAGGUGAAAGCCCGGGGCUCAACCCCGGAAUUGCCUUUAAGACUGCAUCGCUAGAAUUGUGGAGAGGUAAGUGGAAUUCCGAGUGUAGAGGUGAAAUUCGUAGAUAUUCGGAAGAACACCAGUGGCGAAGGCGACUUACUGGACACAUAUUGACGCUGAGGUGCGAAAGCGUGGGGAGCAAACAGG
RNAcentral lists this ribosomal RNA (253 nucleotides) under uncultured bacterium. RNAcentral describes it as "partial 16S ribosomal RNA". It matches the Rfam family "Bacterial small subunit ribosomal RNA", at positions 524 to 776 of the family's 1533-position model. The record is from RNAcentral.